GGUUAAGCGACUAAGCGUACACGGUGGAUGCCCUGGCAGUCAGAGGCGAUGAAGGACGUGCUAAUCUGCGAUAAGCGUCGGUAAGGUGAUAUGAACCGUUAUAACCGGCGAUUUCCGAAUGGGGAAACCCAGUGUGUUUCGACACACUAUCAUUAACUGAAUCCAUAGGUUAAUGAGGCGAACCGGGGGAACUGAAACAUCUAAGUACCCCGAGGAAAAGAAAUCAACCGAGAUUCCCCCAGUAGCGGCGAGCGAACGGGGAGCAGCCCAGAGCCUGAAUCAGUGUGUGUGUUAGUGGAAGCGUCUGGAAAGGCGCGCGAUACAGGGUGACAGCCCCGUACACAAAAAUGCACAUGCUGUGAGCUCGAUGAGUAGGGCGGGACACGUGGUAUCCUGUCUGAAUAUGGGGGGACCAUCCUCCAAGGCUAAAUACUCCUGACUGACCGAUAGUGAACCAGUACCGUGAGGGAAAGGCGAAAAGAACCCCGGCGAGGGGAGUGAAAAAGAACCUGAAACCGUGUACGUACAAGCAGUGGGAGCACGCUUAGGCGUGUGACUGCGUACCUUUUGUAUAAUGGGUCAGCGACUUAUAUUCUGUAGCAAGGUUAACCGAAUAGGGGAGCCGAAGGGAAACCGAGUCUUAACUGGGCGUUAAGUUGCAGGGUAUAGACCCGAAACCCGGUGAUCUAGCCAUGGGCAGGUUGAAGGUUGGGUAACACUAACUGGAGGACCGAACCGACUAAUGUUGAAAAAUUAGCGGAUGACUUGUGGCUGGGGGUGAAAGGCCAAUCAAACCGGGAGAUAGCUGGUUCUCCCCGAAAGCUAUUUAGGUAGCGCCUCGUGAAUUCAUCUCCGGGGGUAGAGCACUGUUUCGGCAAGGGGGUCAUCCCGACUUACCAACCCGAUGCAAACUGCGAAUACCGGAGAAUGUUAUCACGGGAGACACACGGCGGGUGCUAACGUCCGUCGUGAAGAGGGAAACAACCCAGACCGCCAGCUAAGGUCCCAAAGUCAUGGUUAAGUGGGAAACGAUGUGGGAAGGCCCAGACAGCCAGGAUGUUGGCUUAGAAGCAGCCAUCAUUUAAAGAAAGCGUAAUAGCUCACUGGUCGAGUCGGCCUGCGCGGAAGAUGUAACGGGGCUAAACCAUGCACCGAAGCUGCGGCAGCGACGCUGAUGCGUUGUUGGGUAGGGGAGCGUUCUGUAAGCCUGUGAAGGUGUGCUGUGAGGCAUGCUGGAGGUAUCAGAAGUGCGAAUGCUGACAUAAGUAACGAUAAAGCGGGUGAAAAGCCCGCUCGCCGGAAGACCAAGGGUUCCUGUCCAACGUUAAUCGGGGCAGGGUGAGUCGACCCCUAAGGCGAGGCCGAAAGGCGUAGUCGAUGGGAAACAGGUUAAUAUUCCUGUACUUGGUGUUACUGCGAAGGGGGGACGGAGAAGGCUAUGUUGGCCGGGCGACGGUUGUCCCGGUUUAAGCGUGUAGGCUGGUUUUCCAGGCAAAUCCGGAAAAUCAAGGCUGAGGCGUGAUGACGAGGCACUACGGUGCUGAAGCAACAAAUGCCCUGCUUCCAGGAAAAGCCUCUAAGCAUCAGGUAACAUCAAAUCGUACCCCAAACCGACACAGGUGGUCAGGUAGAGAAUACCAAGGCGCUUGAGAGAACUCGGGUGAAGGAACUAGGCAAAAUGGUGCCGUAACUUCGGGAGAAGGCACGCUGAUAUGUAGGUGAAGUCCCUCGCGGAUGGAGCUGAAAUCAGUCGAAGAUACCAGCUGGCUGCAACUGUUUAUUAAAAACACAGCACUGUGCAAACACGAAAGUGGACGUAUACGGUGUGACGCCUGCCCGGUGCCGGAAGGUUAAUUGAUGGGGUCAGCGCAAGCGAAGCUCUUGAUCGAAGCCCCGGUAAACGGCGGCCGUAACUAUAACGGUCCUAAGGUAGCGAAAUUCCUUGUCGGGUAAGUUCCGACCUGCACGAAUGGCGUAAUGAUGGCCAGGCUGUCUCCACCCGAGACUCAGUGAAAUUGAACUCGCUGUGAAGAUGCAGUGUACCCGCGGCAAGACGGAAAGACCCCGUGAACCUUUACUAUAGCUUGACACUGAACAUUGAGCCUUGAUGUGUAGGAUAGGUGGGAGGCUUUGAAGUGUGGACGCCAGUCUGCAUGGAGCCGACCUUGAAAUACCACCCUUUAAUGUUUGAUGUUCUAACGUUGACCCGUGAUCCGGGUUGCGGACAGUGUCUGGUGGGUAGUUUGACUGGGGCGGUCUCCUCCUAAAGAGUAACGGAGGAGCACGAAGGUUGGCUAAUCCUGGUCGGACAUCAGGAGGUUAGUGCAAUGGCAUAAGCCAGCUUGACUGCGAGCGUGACGGCGCGAGCAGGUGCGAAAGCAGGUCAUAGUGAUCCGGUGGUUCUGAAUGGAAGGGCCAUCGCUCAACGGAUAAAAGGUACUCCGGGGAUAACAGGCUGAUACCGCCCAAGAGUUCAUAUCGACGGCGGUGUUUGGCACCUCGAUGUCGGCUCAUCACAUCCUGGGGCUGAAGUAGGUCCCAAGGGUAUGGCUGUUCGCCAUUUAAAGUGGUACGCGAGCUGGGUUUAGAACGUCGUGAGACAGUUCGGUCCCUAUCUGCCGUGGGCGCUGGAGAACUGAGGGGGGCUGCUCCUAGUACGAGAGGACCGGAGUGGACGCAUCACUGGUGUUCGGGUUGUCAUGCCAAUGGCACUGCCCGGUAGCUAAAUGCGGAAGAGAUAAGUGCUGAAAGCAUCUAAGCACGAAACUUGCCCCGAGAUGAGUUCUCCCUGACUCCUUGAGAGUCCUGAAGGAACGUUGAAGACGACGACGUUGAUAGGCCGGGUGUGUAAGCGCAGCGAUGCGUUGAGCUAACCGGUACUAAUGAACCGUGAGGCUUAACCUU
RNAcentral lists this ribosomal RNA (2904 nucleotides) under Escherichia coli. RNAcentral describes it as "23S ribosomal RNA". It matches the Rfam family "Bacterial large subunit ribosomal RNA". The record is from RNAcentral. Lineage: Bacteria; Pseudomonadati; Pseudomonadota; Gammaproteobacteria; Enterobacterales; Enterobacteriaceae. RNAcentral also lists the same sequence under 1 other name.